AAUGAUCAACUGCUUUGACUUUGUUGUCGAAGUGAAGUUGGAUUUGGAGUGUUUGCUGGCCUGUCCGGCUCCUCCCAAAAGUAUAGACCUCCUUCCUCUCUUGGUAAGAAAGUAUCCCUUGACGUGAUAAUUGUCUGCGUCGUGGAGAAAGCCUCGAGUGGAGAAGGUGUGGCUUGUGUGGGGUUUAUAUGGCCUCCCUUGGUUUUGACCA
RNAcentral lists this unclassified non-coding RNA (211 nucleotides) under uncultured Basidiomycota. RNAcentral's name for it is "sequence contains ITS2". Lineage: Eukaryota; Fungi; Basidiomycota. The record is from RNAcentral.